GUUUAUGUAGCUUAUUCUAUCCAAAGCAAUGCACUGAAAAUGUCUCGACGGGCCCACACGCCCCAUAAACA
Molecule: non-coding RNA, 71 nt
Organism: Pongo abelii (Sumatran orangutan)
Lineage: Eukaryota; Metazoa; Chordata; Mammalia; Primates; Hominidae
Source: Ensembl